Molecule: ribosomal RNA, 462 nt
Filed under: uncultured bacterium
Lineage: Bacteria
Description: partial 16S ribosomal RNA
Rfam family: Bacterial small subunit ribosomal RNA
Source: RNAcentral
GACGAACGCUGGCGGCGUGCUUAACACAUGCAAGUCGAACGGAAAGGCCCUUCGGGGUACUCGAGUGGCGAACGGGUGAGUAACACGUGGGUGAUCCGCCCUGCACUUUGGGAUAAGCCUGGGAAACUGGGUCUAAUACCGAAUAGGACCACGCGCUUCAUGGUGUGUGGUGGAAAGCUUUUGCGGUGUGGGAUGGGCCCGCGGCCUAUCAGCUUGUUGGUGGGGUAAUGGCCUACCAAGGCGACGACGGGUAGCCGGCCUGAGAGGGUGACCGGCCACACUGGGACUGAGAUACGGCCCAGACUCCUACGGGAGGCAGCAGUGGGGAAUAUUGCACAAUGGGCGCAAGCCUGAUGCAGCGACGCCGCGUGAGGGAUGACGGCCUUCGGGUUGUAAACCUCUUUCAAUAGGGACGAAGCGCAAGUGACGGUACCUAUAGAAGAAGCACCGGCCAACUACGUG